RNAcentral lists this ribosomal RNA (119 nucleotides) under Octopus vulgaris (common octopus). The record is from RNAcentral. Lineage: Eukaryota; Metazoa; Mollusca; Cephalopoda; Octopoda; Octopodidae. RNAcentral also lists the same sequence under 1 other name.
GCUUACGGCCAUAUCACGUUGAAAGCACCGGUUCUCAUCCGAUCACCGAAGUUAAGCAACGUUGAGCCUAGUGAGUACUUAGAUGAGUGAGGGCUUGGGAAACCUAUGUGCUGUAAGCG